UUUGACCGUGCAAAGGUAGCGUAAUCACUUGUCUUUUAAAUGAAGACCUGUAUGAAUGGCAUAACGAGGGCCAAGCUGUCUCCUUUCUCCAGUCAAUGAAAUUGAUCUUCCCGUGCAGAAGCGGGAAUAUAAACAUAAGACGAGAAGACCCUAUGGAGCUUUAGACACAAGACAGCCCAUGUAAAACACCUGGCUAAACAGAACUAACCAAGUGGCCCCUGCCCUUUUGUCUUUGGUUGGGGCGACCAUGGGGAAACAAACAUCCCCCAUGAGGAAUGGGGCCCUCCCCCUUAAGCCAGAGCCACAGCUCUAGCUAACAGAAUAUCUGACCUACAUAGAUCCGGCAAAGCCGAUCAACGGACCGAGUUACCCUAGGGAUAACAGCGCAAUCCUCUUUUAGAGCCCAUAUCGACAAGAGGGUUUACGACCUCGAUGUUGGAUCAGGACAUCCUAAUGGUGUAGCCGCUAUUAAGGGUUCGUUUGUUCAACGAUUAAAGUCCUACGUGAUCUGAGUUC
RNAcentral lists this ribosomal RNA (516 nucleotides) under Typhlogobius californiensis (blind goby). RNAcentral describes it as "partial 16S ribosomal RNA". It matches the Rfam family "Bacterial large subunit ribosomal RNA", at positions 1941 to 2612 of the family's 2925-position model. The record is from RNAcentral. Lineage: Eukaryota; Metazoa; Chordata; Actinopteri; Gobiiformes; Gobiidae.